Molecule: non-coding RNA, 159 nt
Filed under: chicken gut metagenome
Source: RNAcentral
GUUGUGUAGGUGCUCGAAAGAGCUUAAUAGGGAAAUCGGUUUAUUCCGGUACGGUCCCGCCGCUGUGUUGUGGAGCUUAUCUCUUUAUGCCACUGGAUUUAUAGAUCUGGGAAGGUUGAGAUAAGUGAUGAAACUAAGUCAGAAGAACUGCCUGCAUAU